UAGUGGCGAACGGGUGAGUAACACGUGGGCAAUCUGCCCUUCACUCUGGGACAAGCCCUGGAAACGGGGUCUAAUACCGGAUAACACUCCUGCUCUCAUGGGCGGGGGUUAAAAGCUCCGGCGGUGAAGGAUGAGCCCGCGGCCUAUCAGCUUGUUGGUGAGGUAAUGGCUCACCAAGGCGACGACGGGUAGCCGGCCUGAGAGGGCGACCGGCCACACUGGGACUGAGACACGGCCCAGACUCCUACGGGAGGCAGCAGUGGGGAAUAUUGCACAAUGGGCGAAAGCCUGAUGCAGCGACGCCGCGUGAGGGAUGACGGCCUUCGGGUUGUAAACCUCUUUCAGCAGGGAAGAAGCGAAAGUGACGGUACCUGCAGAAGAAGCGCCGGCUAACUACGUGCCAGCAGCCGCGGUAAUACGUAGGGCGCAAGCGUUGUCCGGAAUUAUUGGGCGUAAAGAGCUCGUAGGCGGCUUGUCACGUCGAUUGUGAAAGCCCGGGGCUUAACCCCG
RNAcentral lists this ribosomal RNA (510 nucleotides) under Streptomyces sp. 310E09. RNAcentral describes it as "bacterial SSU rRNA". It matches the Rfam family "Bacterial small subunit ribosomal RNA", at positions 93 to 617 of the family's 1533-position model. Lineage: Bacteria; Bacillati; Actinomycetota; Actinomycetes; Kitasatosporales; Streptomycetaceae. The record is from RNAcentral.